This 431-nucleotide ribosomal RNA is filed under the name uncultured bacterium. RNAcentral describes it as "bacterial SSU rRNA". It matches the Rfam family "Bacterial small subunit ribosomal RNA", at positions 354 to 796 of the family's 1533-position model. The record is from RNAcentral.
GUGGGGAAUCUUGCGCAAUGGGGGCAACCCUGACGCAGCGACGCCGCGUGCGGGACGAAGGCCUUCGGGUCGUAAACCGCUUUCAGCAGGGACGAGGCCGCGAGGUGACGGUACCUGCAGAAGAAGCCCCGGCUAACUACGUGCCAGCAGCCGCGGUAAUACGUAGGGGGCGAGCGUUAUCCGGAUUCAUUGGGCGUAAAGCGCUCGUAGGCUGCCCGCUAGGUCCGGGGUCAAAUCCGGGGGCUCAACCCCCGCACGCCCCGGAUACCGGCGGGCUUGAGUCGGGUAGGGGAAGGCGGAAUUCCAGGUGUAGCGGUGGAAUGCGCAGAUAUCUGGAAGAACACCGGUGGCGAAGGCGGCCUUCUGGGCCUCGACUGACGCUGAGGAGCGAAAGCUGGGGGAGCGAACAGGAUUAGAAACCCUAGUAGUCC